This 467-nucleotide ribosomal RNA is filed under the name uncultured bacterium. Its description in RNAcentral is "partial 16S ribosomal RNA". It matches the Rfam family "Bacterial small subunit ribosomal RNA", at positions 28 to 507 of the family's 1533-position model. The record is from RNAcentral.
GAUGAACGCUGGCGGCGUGCUUAACACAUGCAAGUCGAACGGAAAGGCCCAAGCUUGCUUGGGUACUCGACUGGCGAACGGGUGAGUAACACGUGGGUGAUCUGCCCUGCACUUCGGGGUAUGCCUGGGAAACUGGAUCUAAUACCGGAUAGGAUCUAUUCUUGUUGGAUGUGGCGGCGAGUGUUUUCUGUGUGGGAUGAGCUUGCGGCCUAUCAGCUUGUUGGUGGGGUAAUGGCCUACCAGGGCGUCGACGAGUAGCCGGCCUGGGAGGGUGUGCGGCCACAGUGAGACUGGGAUACGGCCCCGACUCCGACGGGUGGCAGCAGUGGGGAAUGUUGCUAAAGGGGCGCGAGCCUGAGGCAGCGCCGCCGCGUGGGGGAUGACGGCCUUCGGGUUGGAAACGCCUUUCGCUAGGGACGAGGCGUUUUGUGACGGUACCUGGAGAAUAAGCACCGGCUAACUACGUG